RNAcentral lists this ribosomal RNA (496 nucleotides) under uncultured Comamonadaceae bacterium. Its description in RNAcentral is "bacterial SSU rRNA". It matches the Rfam family "Bacterial small subunit ribosomal RNA", at positions 1000 to 1496 of the family's 1533-position model. The record is from RNAcentral. Lineage: Bacteria; Pseudomonadati; Pseudomonadota; Betaproteobacteria; Burkholderiales; Comamonadaceae.
CCAGAGAUGGCUUGGUGCUCGAAAGAGAACCGUAACACAGGUGCUGCAUGGCUGUCGUCAGCUCGUGUCGUGAGAUGUUGGGUUAAGUCCCGCAACGAGCGCAACCCUUAUCAUUAGUUGCUACAUUUAGUUGGGCACUCUAAUGAGACUGCCGGUGACAAACCGGAGGAAGGUGGGGAUGACGUCAAGUCCUCAUGGCCCUUAUAGGUAGGGCUACACACGUCAUACAAUGGCUGGUACAAAGGGUUGCCAACCCGCGAGGGGGAGCUAAUCCCAUAAAGCCAGUCGUAGUCCGGAUCGUAGUCUGCAACUCGACUACGUGAAGUCGGAAUCGCUAGUAAUCGUGGAUCAGAAUGUCACGGUGAAUACGUUCCCGGGUCUUGUACACACCGCCCGUCACACCAUGGGAGCGGGUUCUGCCAGAAGUAGUUAGCCUAACCGCAAGGAGGGCGAUUACCACGGCAGGGUUCGUGACUGGGGUGAAGUCGUAACAAGG